ACGCUGGCGGCAGGCCUAACACAUGCAAGUCGAGCGGUAGAGAGAAGCUUGCUUCUCUUGAGAGCGGCGGACGGGUGAGUAAUGCCUAGGAAUCUGCCUGGUAGUGGGGGAUAACGUUCGGAAACGGACGCUAAUACCGCAUACGUCCUACGGGAGAAAGCAGGGGACCUUCGGGCCUUGCGCUAUCAGAUGAGCCUAGGUCGGAUUAGCUAGUUGGUGGGGUAAUGGCUCACCAAGGCGACGAUCCGUAACUGGUCUGAGAGGAUGAUCAGUCACACUGGAACUGAGACACGGUCCAGACUCCUACGGGAGGCAGCAGUGGGGAAUAUUGGACAAUGGGCGAAAGCCUGAUCCAGCCAUGCCGCGUGUGUGAAGAAGGUCUUCGGAUUGUAAAGCACUUUAAGUUGGGAGGAAGGGCAGUAAAUUAAUACUUUGCUGUUUUGACGUUACCGACAGAAUAAGCACCGGCUAACUCUGUGCCAGCAGCCGCGGUAAUACAGAGGGUGCAAGCGUUAAUCGGAAUUACUGGGCGUAAAGCGCGCGUAGGUGGUUAGUUAAGUUGGAUGUGAAAUCCCCGGGCUCAACCUGGGAACUGCAUUCAAAACUGACUGACUAGAGUAUGGUAGAGGGUGGUGGAAUUUCCUGUGUAGCGGUGAAAUGCGUAGAUAUAGGAAGGAACACCAGUGGCGAAGGCGACCACCUGGACUGAUACUGACACUGAGGUGCGAAAGCGUGGGGAGCAAAC
Molecule: ribosomal RNA, 745 nt
Filed under: uncultured bacterium
Lineage: Bacteria
Description: bacterial SSU rRNA
Rfam family: Bacterial small subunit ribosomal RNA
Source: RNAcentral